Molecule: ribosomal RNA, 253 nt
Filed under: uncultured bacterium
Lineage: Bacteria
Description: partial 16S ribosomal RNA
Rfam family: Bacterial small subunit ribosomal RNA
Source: RNAcentral
UACGUAGGGGGCAAGCGUUGUCCGGAAUCAUUGGGCGUAAAGCGCGUGUAGGCGGCCCGGUAAGUCCGCUGUAAAAGUCCAGGGCUCAACCCUGGAAAGCCGGUGGAUACUGUCGGGCUCGAGUCCGGAAGAGGCGAGUGGAAUUCCUGGUGUAGCGGUGGAAUGCGCAGAUAUCAGGAGGAACACCUAUAGCGAAGGCAGCUCGCUGGUACGACACUGACGCUAAGGCGCGAAAGCGUGGGGAGCGAACAGG